Molecule: unclassified non-coding RNA, 294 nt
Filed under: Hevea brasiliensis (rubber tree)
Lineage: Eukaryota; Viridiplantae; Streptophyta; Magnoliopsida; Malpighiales; Euphorbiaceae
Source: RNAcentral
GAAUUGCUGAGGGAGGAAUUGUCUGAUUCUAUCCUAUGGAAUGAAGUCAACUCUCUCUGGAAUGCACCGGUGCAGCCAACAUUAGGUUCUGAGUGGAAAACCUGGAAGCAUGAAGUUAUGAAAUGGUUCUCAACAUCUCAUCCUGUAUCUAGUAGCGGUGAUGUAGAGAAGAGAAGCUGUGACAGUCCCUCAACCAUGAGUCUUCAAGUUGGCAGGAAGAGGCCUAAGCUUGAAGUGCGCCGUGCAGAGUCACAUGCUUCCCAGGUGGAAACAAGCAGUCCACUUCAAACUAUG